RNAcentral lists this ribosomal RNA (253 nucleotides) under uncultured bacterium. RNAcentral's name for it is "partial 16S ribosomal RNA". It matches the Rfam family "Bacterial small subunit ribosomal RNA", at positions 524 to 776 of the family's 1533-position model. The record is from RNAcentral.
UACGGAGGGUGCGAGCGUUAAUCGGAGUUACUGGGCGUAAAGGGCGCGUAGGCGGUUUUAAGGGUGUGAUGUGAAAGCCCUGGGCUUAACCUGGGAAGUGCAUCGCAAACCAUAAGACUGGAGUACAAGAGAGGGUGGCGGAAUUUCCGGUGUAGCGGUGAAAUGCGUAGAGAUCGGAAGGAACGUCGAUGGCGAAGGCAGCCACCUGGCUUGAUACUGACGCUGAAGCGCGAAAGCGUGGGGAGCGAACAGG